GCGAUGUUCAGGAGAACGGACCUCUCGGUGAGGUUGAAACUUGUUUUGAGGGUCGCUGUAUUGGAUAAUGCCCAGAAAUGCACAGGUUCUCAAAUAUUGGUUGAAUUUUUGAGGAAUUAAGCAAAUACAGGUGAAGUGUGAGUGCCUGGCAAAGAACUAACACUCGGCAAACAUGCCCCUCGGUCGUUACCACUGCCCUCAUUCCUACUCUGUAUGACAUUGACGGGUGGGUGGAGAGUGGCCACCUUUGGGAAAGACCUGGAUUUAAAUCUCUACUUUCUCAUUUACUAACGCCUGGGACUUAGGCCAAAUUGCUUUAUCAGUUUGGGUUCCACAAAGAACUAUGUGCAAUUUCCCACGUUGCUGCAGCCUAGUGUAAAACACAGCCGCAGCCAGACGAGAAUUCCAUUCACUGAAACCGCUAACUGAGCAUAGAGGGAACUCAACCGGGGUUGACAGCUCCCACCAGGGGCCGGCAGUUUCGCCAGCGCUAGUCGGUCCAACCAGCCACGUCUGGUGCAGGUCAGCAAAGGAAAAAAAAAACAAAAAAACAGCCAGAACACGGCUUUGACCCUCCCACUAACGGUCCCUCCUCCUCUGGCCCCAGGCGGUCGCAGGACUCUGGUUUCCGGCCUUCAGAGGACUACAAUUUCCAGUAUGCCCUUGGUGGGAAGUCUUUCUCGAUGGAUGACUACCGAUCCCGGCAUGACAUUCGGCUCACUAAUAACUCCGAGGACAGUGUGGGAUGACCCCGUUGUACGCCGGGAAUUGUAGUUUAGUAGCCGUGGGCUCGCAGAUGGGCGGGGAACAGCCCGCCAGUUCUUGUCCGCUAAGGGGAAUGAUUCAUAGAGUGUCAGGAGGGACAGUUCUGCUUGUGAAAGGCCAACACGAAGCUGAACUCUUCUCCAAGGCUGGUAGACCGAUGAGAGUUGGCAGGGGCUGGGCCUGACCCGGUCCCUGGCGGCUCGUCAGGCCUCCGCCGAGCCCUGGGCCUUGCAGGGGGAGGCCUCGAGGCGCCGGUUGCUGGGGGAGCGGUGACGUCUCGGGGUGAAAGUUGAGGGGCGGUGACGUACGGCCUGCCCGGGCGGAGGCUGGCGGGUUGGAGACUGGAGGGAGGGAGGGAAGGAGGGAAGGAAGGAAGCUGGGAAGGAGCGAGGUAGCGGGGGCGCGAGGCGUUUACCUGGGAGGCAGCGGCUGGGGCGCGCACAGCGGCCGCGGCUCCCCCGCACCUGCGGCCAUGGAUGAAGAGCGCGCCCUCUACAUCGUCCGGGCCGGCGAGGCGGGGGCUAUCGAGCGGGUCCUGAGGGAUUACAGCGACAAGCAUAGGGCUACUUUCAAAUUUGAAUCAACAGAUGAAGAUAAAAGAAAGAAACUCUGUGAAGGUAUAUUUAAAGUCCUUGUAAAGGAUGUCCCAACAACAUGUCAAGUGUCCUGCCUGGAAGUACUCCGCAUUCUCUCCAGAGACAAAAAGAUUUUAGUUCCUGUAACAACUAAGGAAAAUAUGCAAAUACUGCUGAGACUAGCCAAGCUGCAUGAGUCGGAUGAUUCUUUGGAGAAGGUGUCAGAGUUCCCGGUUAUUGUAGAAUCGUUAAAGUGUCUGUGUAACAUCGUGUUCAACAGUCAGAUGGCCCAGCAGCUCAGCCUGGAACUGAAUCUUGCUGCAAAGCUCUGUAACCUCCUGAGAAAGUGCAAGGACCGAAAAUGUAUCAAUGACAUAAAGUGCUUUGACUUGCGCUUGCUCUUCCUCUUGUCACUUUUGCACACUGACAUCAGGUCACAAUUGCGCUAUGAGCUCCAGGGACUCCCGCUGCUAACCCAGAUCUUGGAAAGUGCCUUUAGCAUCAAGUGGACCGAUGAGUAUGAAUCGGCCAUAGACCAUAAUGGACCUCCUCUCUCACCUCAGGAGACAGACUGUGCCAUUGAGGCCCUCAAAGCUCUCUUCAAUGUGACGGUAGACAGUUGGAAGGUGCAUAAAGAGGGCGAUUCUCAUCAGUUCCGUGUCAUGGCAGCUGUCCUUCGCCAUUGUUUACUAAUCGUAGGUCCAACUGAAGACAAAACAGAAGAGCUGCACAGCAAUGCCGUCAACCUUUUAAGCAAUGUUCCAGUCUCUUGUUUGGAUGUUCUCAUUUGUCCAUUAACCCAUGAAGAAACAGCUCAAGAGGCAGCGACUCUAGAUGAACUGCCCAGUGAUAAAACAGCCGAGAAAGACACCGCUCUGAAAAACAAUACCCUAGUAUACAAUGGCAUGAAUAUGGAGGCCAUUUAUGUUUUACUCAAUUUUAUGGAGAAGAGAAUUGACAAGGGAAGCAGCUAUAGAGAGGGUCUAACUCCAGUUCUCAGCUUAUUAACAGAGUGUUCUCGAGCCCAUCGGAAUAUCCGAAAAUUUCUCAAAGAUCAGGUUUUACCGCCAUUGAGGGACGUGACAAACCGACCUGAAGUUGGCUCAACUGUGAGGAAUAAGCUGGUGCGCCUCAUGACACACGUUGACCUUGGAGUCAAGCAGAUUGCUGCGGAGUUCCUUUUUGUCCUUUGCAAAGAGAGAGUGGACAGCCUGCUGAAGUACACUGGCUAUGGGAACGCCGCAGGACUGCUGGCGGCCAGGGGCCUCUUGGCUGGAGGAAGAGGAGACAAUUGGUACUCGGAGGACGAGGACACGGACACUGAAGAAUACAAAAAUGCAAAACCAAACAUUAAUCUUAUCACUGGUCAUUUAGAGGAACCAAUGCCAAACCCUAUAGAUGACAUGACAGAAGAACAAAAAGAAUAUGAAGCCAUGAAACUUGUCAACAUGCUUGAUAAACUCUCCAGACCCUGUCAUUAAUUCCAUGUGUCAAUACUGCCCUGUAGUACACAGAGCAGACAAGAAAGAAGAGCCCUUGAAAACAAGGGAAUGAUUUUUGAGUCGUUAUCAAGCUAAGUGGCAAGCGGGAAGCUGAGACUCGUAUAGUUGAACAUUCUUGGAGGCUUAUCUCUUCCCUGGCCAGAUGCCUGAUCAGAUGAGAAGCCCGCCAUGAUACUGUCACAGUGCCUAGAAUGGGCUCUUUAUCCAGUAGACAUCACUGUACUUUUUGGUGAUAACGGGGGCAGUCUUAACUGUGUUAAGGCCUGUGUAUAGCAUUGAAGAGAGGAGUUGCUUAAGCCAAUGGGACUAAAACCUGAUGGGACAAUAACUCCCUUGGAGGAAGCACUCAGCCAGUACUCUGUCAUCGAAGAGACCAGCUCCGACACGGACUGAGCGCCGUCACCUGCCCCGCUCUCAAUAUGGCUUUCAUCAGCAUCUUUUCUCUGUAGCUCCAGGGGAAUCUUUUCUCUAAAACAUUUAUGCCCUUGCUUUGGCUAGAAACACAUUAGCUGGUUUACUCGUUGGGUACCCAGCGUAUGUAAGAGGUGGUCCUGUGUUCUCUGCGACAGUGAGGCAUCCACGUAGAACUGGAGUUAGGCAGAGGUGCGGGCUGGGAGCAGAAGCAGUCAUUCCAUUUCAUCAGGACGCAGUGCGGGACUUCACUCUGCCCAGCAGCCCCGGGCCAGUCUGGCAGUCUUGUCGCCAGGAUUCCUAGCCGAAGAUUCAGCCAUGUCCUCCACCGGCUCGGCUCGUGCAAACCACCCCUCUUAGGUUGUCUCUCCAGCAACCCAGGCACACGAGAGGCCGAGGAGCUGGUAACUAAGGGCUGAGGCAGGUGACUCCUUAGAUCAGCACUGACUGAGUUGGAAGCCAGGCAGCUGCCCUGUACACCUAGUCCACCCUUCAUUUCAGUUUUAUAUAAAUGUGGAAACACACACACAGAGCCCCAGACUUACAAACCUGUUACACUCUUGAAAGUUUGUAUGUCACUUAGCGAAAACUUCAGACUACAGCUCUCCCUGUGAGGAGUUAGAAAUGAUGGUUUAGUUCCAGGCAGCUACAUGUGCCUAUUUAUUCCUCAUGUUCCUGAACACUACACGUACCGUAGGGCUGGACCACCAUCCGUACCGCUGCAUCCAGAGCGUGCAUUCUGAGGUCUCACUCAGGGUGCCAAGUAUACACUCAUCCUCCAGGCAACAGAGAGGAUGGGGCUCCCCGAGUAGUGGGAGUUCUUUCGUGGCCUGUGCUGGGGGUAGGGAGCCAACAGCACCCAUUUGUACAUAAAGGUCAUUCGUAUGUCACAUGUUUUAAACAAGGGUCUCUGUGUGUAUUUGUGUGUGUGUUCUUUCUACCAUAUGUGAUCAGUUUAAUGGUAACUUUAUUUAUUUAAAAAAAAGAAACACAAAUAGUUACUAUUAAACUGAUUAAGGCUGUUUAUUUUUACUCUUAGAAAUGGUCAUAUGAAGUAGACGUGCAAUCAUGUAGGCAGGCCAAGUUGAUCAGUGGCUAAAGUUAAAAGGGGGUUGGUUUCCUUUCAUAUAUGUGUGUAUGUGUACCUACACAUACACACAUAUAUGCACACACAUAGAUUAUGUGCUUAACCACUGCCUUUUAAAACUUUAAAUUAAAUAAAACAUUGGGGAUGACUCAAUUUA
This is an RNA transcript of Peromyscus leucopus (white-footed mouse), 4497 nucleotides long. It is a transcript of the gene named RIC8 guanine nucleotide exchange factor B, with no coding region annotated. The record is from RefSeq and is a predicted model, not a curated record. The transcript is spliced from 12 exons. NCBI's taxonomy places the organism in Eukaryota, Metazoa, Chordata, Mammalia, Rodentia, Cricetidae.